UGUGCCAUUAAUGGUAAUACUGGGCCUC
This 28-nucleotide non-coding RNA is filed under the name Mus musculus (house mouse). The record is from RNAcentral. Lineage: Eukaryota; Metazoa; Chordata; Mammalia; Rodentia; Muridae.